Long non-coding RNA from Homo sapiens (human), 566 nucleotides. Ensembl annotates it as THAP9 antisense RNA 1. Its record names the gene THAP9-AS1. The record is from Ensembl. NCBI's taxonomy places the organism in Eukaryota, Metazoa, Chordata, Mammalia, Primates, Hominidae.
GCAUUUGACCGCUCCUCCCUCCGCGUUGGAGGCGGAAUAGUGGGUUUUGCUGCAACCGGUUUAUUUUCCUUCUGUUUUCACCCAUUCUGGCACAAUCUGGCGCCAUCGUCCUUCUUGUGAGGCCAAGCCUGAAAAUGCGAAGCAGAGAGGCAGGACCAAAAUUGAGGCGAAUCCAGGAACCUGCCAAUGGGUCUCCGGGUGCGGUCUCUGAAACUGGAGGAUAUCGGGAGGAAAGGCUCUCCGAUGCGGAGAUAAUGGGGAAGCUCUUGGCAUGGUUGGCUGUAGGUAUGUGAUACCGGAGGAGCAGGAGUCAAAUAGGAUACGCCGACUUUUAAUUCAAGGAACCCUUUUCUGAAACACUUUGCCACAAUGAAGGAAAUAAGAUUACAGCCGAAGAUACAUAUUAAGGAAUUGUACUCUCAGAGAUGUUGAGAAAAGAUACAUGGGUCUUGGAAGAUAAUUACUCAAAAUAUGCAGGGAAGGAAUAAAAUUGAAGGGUGUUUUUCUUAGAGAACAUCAUUUGUCAUAUUUAUUUGAUCAAGAAGUUGAAGAUUUAUAUAAUAAGG